UUCGAUUUAUCAGGAGGAACACCAAUGGCGAAGGCAGGUCUCUGGGCCAUUACUGACACUGAGGAGCGAAAGCGUGGGGAGCGAACAGGAUUAGAUACCCUGGUAGUCCACGCCGUAAACGGUGGGCACUAGUUGUGGGAACCUUCCACGGUUUCUGCGACGCAGCUAACGCAUUAAGUGCCCCGCCUGGGGAGUACGAUCGCAAGAUUAAAACUCAAAGGAAUUGACGGGGCCCCGCACAAGCAGCGGAGCAUGCGGCUUAAUUCGACGCAACGCGAAGAACCUUACCAAGGCUUGACAUAUACCGGAAUAUGGCAGAAAUGUCAUAGCUGUAAAAGGUCGGUAUACAGGUGGUGCAUGGUUGUCGUCAGCUCGUGUCGUGAGAUGUUGGGUUAAGUCCCGCAACGAGCGCAACCCUUGUCAUUAGUUGCCAUCAUUUAGUUGGGCACUCUAAUGAGACUGCCGGUGACAAACCGGAGGAAGGUGGGGAUGACGUCAAGUCCUCAUGGCCCUUAUGGGUAGGGCUUCACACGUCAUACAAUGGUCGGUACAGAGGGUCGCCAACCCGCGAGGGGGAGCCAAUCUCACAAAGCCGAUCGUAGUCCGGAUUGGAGUCUGCAACUCGACUCCAUGAAGUCGGAAUCGCUAGUAAUCGUGGAUCAGCAUGUCACGGUGAAUACGUUCCCGGGUCUUGUACACACCGCCCGUCAAAC
This 713-nucleotide ribosomal RNA is filed under the name uncultured bacterium. RNAcentral describes it as "bacterial SSU rRNA". It matches the Rfam family "Bacterial small subunit ribosomal RNA", at positions 687 to 1402 of the family's 1533-position model. The record is from RNAcentral.